Molecule: ribosomal RNA, 659 nt
Filed under: Alteromonas macleodii
Lineage: Bacteria; Pseudomonadati; Pseudomonadota; Gammaproteobacteria; Alteromonadales; Alteromonadaceae
Description: bacterial SSU rRNA
Rfam family: Bacterial small subunit ribosomal RNA
Source: RNAcentral
UGCUAGAAGAUGACGAGUGGCGGACGGGUGAGUAAUGCUUGGGAACUUGCCUUUGCGAGGGGGAUAACAGUUGGAAACGACUGCUAAUACCGCAUAAUGUCUUCGGACCAAACGGGGCUUCGGCUCCGGCGCAAAGAGAGGCCCAAGUGAGAUUAGCUAGUUGGUAAGGUAACGGCUUACCAAGGCGACGAUCUCUAGCUGUUCUGAGAGGAAGAUCAGCCACACUGGGACUGAGACACGGCCCAGACUCCUACGGGAGGCAGCAGUGGGGAAUAUUGCACAAUGGGGGAAACCCUGAUGCAGCCAUGCCGCGUGUGUGAAGAAGGCCUUCGGGUUGUAAAGCACUUUCAGUUGUGAGGAAAAGUUAGUAGUUAAUACCUGCUAGCCGUGACGUUAACAACAGAAGAAGCACCGGCUAACUCCGUGCCAGCAGCCGCGGUAAUACGGAGGGUGCGAGCGUUAAUCGGAAUUACUGGGCGUAAAGCGCACGCAGGCGGUUUGUUAAGCUAGAUGUGAAAGCCCCGGGCUCAACCUGGGAUGGUCAUUUAGAACUGGCAGACUAGAGUCUUGGAGAGGGGAGUGGAAUUCCAGGUGUAGCGGUGAAAUGCGUAGAUAUCUGGAGGAACAUCAGUGGCGAAGGCGACUCCCUGGCCAAAGAC